CCUACGGGUGGCUGCAGUGGGGAAUAUUGGACAAUGGGCGAAAGCCUGAUCCAGCCAUGCCGCGUGUGUGAAGAAGGCCUUCGGGUUGUAAAGCACUUUCAGUGGGGAAGAAAGCCUUGGGGCUAAUACCCUCGAGGAAGGACAUCACCCACAGAAGAAGCACCGGCUAACUCCGUGCCAGCAGCCGCGGUAAUACGGAGGGUGCGCGCGUUAAUCGGAAUUACUGGGCGUAAAGCGCGCGUAGGCGGUCUGAUAAGCCGGUUGUGAAAGCCCCGGGCUCAACCUGGGAACGGCAUCCGGAACUGUCAGGCUAGAGUGCAGGAGAGGAAGGUAGAAUUCCCGGUGUAGCGGUGAAAUGCGUAGAGAUCGGGAGGAAUACCAGUGGCGAAGGCGGCCUUCUGGACUGACACUGACGCUGAGGUGCGAAAGCGUGGGUAGCAAACAGGAUUAGAUACCCAUGUAGUC
This 465-nucleotide ribosomal RNA is filed under the name Vreelandella stevensii. Its description in RNAcentral is "partial 16S ribosomal RNA". It matches the Rfam family "Bacterial small subunit ribosomal RNA", at positions 338 to 795 of the family's 1533-position model. Lineage: Bacteria; Pseudomonadati; Pseudomonadota; Gammaproteobacteria; Oceanospirillales; Halomonadaceae. The record is from RNAcentral.